Molecule: RNA transcript, 1153 nt
Organism: Vigna unguiculata (cowpea)
Lineage: Eukaryota; Viridiplantae; Streptophyta; Magnoliopsida; Fabales; Fabaceae
Gene name: glucosamine 6-phosphate N-acetyltransferase pseudogene
Source: RefSeq, a predicted model, not a curated record
AAUACCUUUCUCGUCAAAAGCACGUCAGAAAAGUGUAUUUUGGAAUGAAAAACGAUGAAAAUGAUAAAUAUUACCACUGUGAGAGAAACGGAACGGAAAAAAAAAUCAGAUAGCUCAACCUGAUUGGCUAAAAGAAAGAAUCACGCACAAUCACAAAGGCAAAUGCAGAUGAACGUCAAUCCUCCAAAAAUCAAUCCAAGGAAUCGUGCUUUCUUCAGAACAAAGCGAGAAGAUGGAAAACAGUGAGGAACAGAAGUACGGAGUUCGGAAAUUAGAGAUCUCAGACAAGAGCAAAGGCUUCAUCGAGUUGCUGCAGCAACUCAGCGUUUGCGAUUCCGUCUCUGACAGAGAUUUCGAGGAUCGAUUUCGAGAGCUCAGUGCCGUCGGAGAUGACCACGUUAUCGGCGUGAUUGAAGACGAGGCUUCUGGAAAGAUCAUUGCGACGGGGAGCGUGUUUAUUGAGAAGAAAUUUUUGAGAAAUUGCGGCAAAGUUGGGCACAUUGAGGACGUUGUUGUGGAUUCAAGCGCACGUGGGAAGCAUUUGGGAAAGAGAAUUGUAAGCUUCCUGACGGAGCAUGCUCGUUCCAUUGGAUGCUAUAAGGUCAUUCUUGAUUGCAGCCUCGAGAAUAAGGCGUUCUACGAGAAAUGUGGCUUCCAGCACAAAUCUCUUCAGAUGGCUAUGUAUUUUGCUCACCACUAGUUUUCUACUGUCUUGGCUUCUUUGAUGUUGGAGUCGACGAGCUCUGGGAGGCUAAUAAUGCUGGGUAAGAAGGAGAAUGAAAUGGCAGAGCUGGAGAAAAUUUUGGAGUUGUACUUACUGACUAGCUGACACUUGGAGUUAAAUAUUUGUGGCAUGUGCCCAUUUUCUAUUUUAUUUUCAUAAUAUGAAUACUCACUAUGUCUGACUUUUGUAUAUUUUUCUUUGCCUCAUUUAUACAAUUUUGAAGGUUAAUUAUAGUUCAUGAUCUCAACUUAAAAAUAGAUGGGAUGCCUAAGUAUGGCCCUUUUUGUACUUCCGAUACCAUAUGUGCUAGUAGAAGUAUGUUAGUAGUUAUAGUGUAUAAACCAAUUCCGGACCAUCAAUUUUACGGAUUAUAGUUUACAAUCCUGUCAUGAUCGCUUGCUAUUUAAUCUGUUUAGUAUUUUACCCUUG